ACCAUACUGUGUCAAUCAGAUUUUGUUGUAUCACAAUUUGGUCUGAUUUGGCCUACUUUCAUGACAGGGGAUGAAGGAACCCACAGUCCCGUGCCCCAGGAAGAGGGCAAGAGGGGAGGAAGAAAAAAGACUGGCUACUUUUGAGAAUAUUUGUUCCAGCCCCAAGGUACAGCAGUUUAUCUGAGUACUAAGAAAUCACCCCUCAUAUUCCUCUUAUUAACACAAGAAAUGACAACUAGAGCAAAGAAAAAGGAAAUAACCUGAGUAAGCAAUCAAAGUUGCCAGCUCAAGGAAUCUUCCUGUGCUUCAAAUGAAGGCCAUUAAUUACAACAAGGCUGAAAAUAAAUUUAUUUGCAGA
This is a non-coding RNA of Meleagris gallopavo (turkey), 358 nucleotides long. Lineage: Eukaryota; Metazoa; Chordata; Aves; Galliformes; Phasianidae. The record is from RefSeq and is a predicted model, not a curated record.